RNAcentral lists this ribosomal RNA (207 nucleotides) under uncultured Caryophanales bacterium. Its description in RNAcentral is "uncultured Bacillales bacterium partial 16S ribosomal RNA". It matches the Rfam family "Bacterial small subunit ribosomal RNA", at positions 568 to 774 of the family's 1533-position model. The record is from RNAcentral. Lineage: Bacteria; Bacillati; Bacillota; Bacilli; Caryophanales.
CGCGCAGGCGGUUCCUUAAGUCUGAUGUGAAAGCCCACGGCUCAACCGUGGAGGGUCAUUGGAAACUGGGGAACUUGAGUGCAGAAGAGAAGAGUGGAAUUCCACGUGUAGCGGUGAAAUGCGUAGAGAUGUGGAGGAACACCAGUGGCGAGGGCGACUCUUUGGUCUGUAACUGACGCUGAGGCGCGAAAGCGUGGGGAGCAAACA